Molecule: ribosomal RNA, 188 nt
Filed under: uncultured bacterium
Lineage: Bacteria
Description: partial 16S ribosomal RNA
Rfam family: Bacterial small subunit ribosomal RNA
Source: RNAcentral
CUACGGGAGGCAGCAGUAAGGAAUAUUGGUCAAUGGGCGGAAGCCUGAAUCAGCCAUGCCGCGUGCAGGAUGACUGCCCUAUGGGUUGUAAACUGCUUUUGUCCGGGAAUAAACCUCCUUACGUGUAGGGAGCUGAAUGUACCGGAAGAAUAAGGAUCGGCUAACUCCGUGCCAGCAGCCGCGGUAAU